This 250-nucleotide long non-coding RNA is filed under the name Ananas comosus (pineapple). RNAcentral describes it as "long non-coding RNA (ACOM_LNC027411)". Lineage: Eukaryota; Viridiplantae; Streptophyta; Magnoliopsida; Poales; Bromeliaceae. The record is from RNAcentral.
GGGCUCAGUGCGUUUGCGUUGGUGUCGUUCGUGUAGGUUGGACUUGCUCUCCAUGGACUGGUUAGUGUGGAGAUAGUUGUAUAGUCGCGACCGUACGGGACGAGUGUGUUCACAGUCUCAGGGACAGGUAUGACUACAGUUCUUAUUUGAGAUUGGGUCUGAGUUGACACUGUUCUACAGAUGGUUAGAUUUAGAGUAUGAUAGUAUAGUGGCAUAUAGCUGUAGAUUUGUUCCAGCUUUCUUUACUAUU